CAAACUGGUGAACCCUGGGCCACCAGAGCAAGGUGCCCAAAUUUAGCCACUACGCCACCAGGAGGCCGGAUAUGAGCGGAAGAGCCUUAAGUAUAUGUUUUCCCCAUAGAAACAAGAGCGGUUGUGACUUAGGCUAAUGGUAACGCUUGGGAGAAAGGAAGAAAGUCACAAAGCUACUGAAACAACGCAGUUCUGAAGCUCAAAGCAUCUAUACUCAGUCUGCCCCUUGUCUGUGAAGAACACACAAGUGGGCAGAGACUACGGGAUGUGCAGGAACCGCUCUGACUUCAGUGUGCGUUGCCUCCCUGGAUGGCCUGCGUGGCAAAUUUCGUUUGAGACCAGAGCCCUAAGGGGCACCGGCUUCUGGUGUGUUGGAGAUGGAGAAUUGGCCUCAUGGCUGCUCCUACUCGAUGUCAGCAACUCAACAUCUCGUCCUCUCUCGCAGCUCCUGGGCCGUCAGUAGACAGGAGAGUGGUCAGCACCAUGGUGAAUCUGAGAGACCGAGGUAAACACGGCCAUUGGGGCACCGUGCUCCCUCCAGCACGCCCCUGGUCCUGGUGGGCCCUUAAGGGAGAAUGCUUCCUAGCCGCCCCCAGGGGCGCAACUCCACCCCCGCUGUGCUCCUCGCAGGUCUUAGGAACAGGCGCCUUCCCUGCCGUUGUUCCUCCUGUAGAGUGUGCCUCCACGGCCUGUGAGGGAGAAAAGGCCCAAAGCCGAGCCCUGUGCUGCUCAGGACAUGGCCUCAGCUACAAAGACCAAGUAGGAACCUCAAAUUACUGCCCAUGAGGCCGAGGCCUUCCCGGCCCGCGAAGAUCUGAGGAGGGCGAGCAUCUCUCCCACCUUUCAGCAUGUGCGCCCGAGGCCGUCCUUGCUUUGGCAACCCUUCCAAUAUGCUUCCUGGGAGACAAGGCCGCCCUGGCUGUGGGGCCAGCUGCCUGCUGGCUGCAGGGCCUUUCCCUGCCCGACCUGGGGAGGGGAGAGGUUGCACUCAGCUGAACCUUGACCUCUCUCAGCAGCCCCAGCCCCUGAGUUCCAGGGCCAGGGCUUUCCCGCCCACCAGGCACCUCCACCAACGUGGGACCCACUGUCUUCAUACACAGAGCAGAGACACUGGAAACGUCUGAAGCUUCCAUGAGCUUUUUAAUCCUUUCUCUGCUCCCCGCUCCUUGAAAAGACAUCAUAAAAUGGCAGCAUUUCUGACAAAGCUUUCCAAUGGAUUCAGACUGAUAAGCCCCAAAAGGUGACCCUUCCAACUUACAUUCAUCAGAGUCGUUAAAUUGCAUGAUUAAACCAAAAAUCUAGUCAUCUUUUGCUGCUCAGAAACCAUCAAUGGCCCCCCUGCCUACAGGGCCAAGCCUGACAUCCCUGGUGGGGGAUGAGGCCCUUCACAGCUGCCCCAAGGGGCGUCCCAGGCCGUGUCCUCAGCCCCUGAGCCCCUCCCCCACCUUCCUGAAAGCACCGCCCCUCCACGCCUGCCCAGCAACCUGAGCUGGUCCCCGCCUCCUCUCUCAAGGCCCAAGUCAGAUAUGAGUGCCGCUGUGAGGCCCCCGUGACUCCCCCACCCCACAGACAGAUGCCUGCCUCCUCUGUGCUUCACGUCCUCGGUCCCUCCUGCCUCCUUCCUGCACAGCAGAGAGCGGCCCGGGCAACCACCCAGCAUCUCCAGUCAGAAGAUCUGCUUCUCGGCACUGCCCUGUGCUACCAGGAAACAGCUGUAAAACCACUCACCUUUCUUAGCCUGGGUUUUCCCCUCUGUAAGGCUCUUGAGAGGGAUAAGUAUAUGUGUGUACACACACCAUUAGAUGGAAGGGCACUCCAUACCUCUAAAGGACUAUACAAAUGUCAGCAUCAGGCCUUGUCAUCGUUGACACGGUGGCCACCUGGGUCCCUGGAGGAAGGUAACAACAUCCUAGUCAUCUCCAUACUCUCGCCCUGGCAGGUCUCUGGCACCUGGUAGGUGCCUCAUGAAUGUCUCCGAUGUUUGAUGAGUGGUUGGUAAAGGUCAGUACACCUCCUAGACCGUGGGGCUGGUGAAAUGCUCCCGUCGCACGAAGCGUUUCCCUCUAACUUGCCGGUUUGCUGGAUAAAGUUCAACGGACGCCACAGAAUAUGGAGCAUCAUCUACAAAUUCAGAGGCAGCCCUCUUCUCCGCCUUCAGCCUUGACAUUCAAGGACAGACACAGGGCUCCUGGAAGGAGACGCAGAGGCAAGGCUUCUGGGGGUGAGGGCGUUGCUCCCUCGCUCUCACAAAGGGCACUUCCUUAUCAGAGAAAGGAUGUGGAUGCCUGUGGACCCCCAGAGCGUGCCCGAGGUCAGAGGAGAGAGGGGCCUUCAUGUUAUGAUCGAGAGCACAGAACAAUACAACAGACCCUGUGUGAAGGGAGCUCCCUUCCCUCGUGAGGAGAAUGCAGAAAAGGACACCAACACCUGCUCAGAGAGAAAAAUGAGACUGGCGUCAGGAAUAGGAAAGACCAGAAAGGUGUGAGGGUAGAGACAGCGCCUGACAACUCCAUGGAAGGAGCAGAGGACUCGAGGAGCUCAUUCCUGACCCUCCUAUAAUCCAGAAGCAGCCACCCCAUGAUAUUUUGAGAAUUCCUGGGUACCUUCUUUCUUUGCCCCUUUUCUCUUUUUGCUAGCUGGAACAAUUUUCAGAAACUCCCAAAAAACAGUUUGAUUAGCAUGAAAAAGCUAGGUACUGAGUACAUGUUUGAAAUGUUCCAUAACAAAAAGUUUUUAAAGCUUUACAAAAAAAUUUUUACAAAAGUAAAUAGUCUAUUUCCUUUUAAGUAACUUUAUCUUAACUUAGACAUAUUAAAAUUAAAAUAAGUGAUAGGAAAGACAUACUAAGAUUAAAAAAAAACACUUGAGAUUGCUUUCAAAUGGCGACAGAGAUUUAUUUUCUGGUACCUUGAAAUGCAUUCAUCAGAAAUAGGGCAGGCUACUAUUAUUAGCAAUUGACAGGAAAGUUGUCGCUCAGAAGUAGCCAUAUUAAAGAUUUCAGACAUCUUAACACAACAGUUGGUGAUGAAUAAUGUCAAUUUGUUCAUUAUACCUAUGCACCUGAAAGUUCUAUUUUUUAUGCUAUAAAUUAGUUGACCCAAGUGUUUUUUUUAAUAGGUUUGUUUAAGAAGUAUAAACAGUUUUUAAAAGAGAACAGUGUAUACUACUUCUAUUAUUUGCAAAUUGCCUUGGAGAAAGACCGCUGCCCACCUCUGUUUGUGAAACUGAAAGGAUAGCGUAAGCGAGAGGAGGAGCCAGCGUGCAGGGAAGAGAAGUGACGCGAGCGGCCUCCCCUCCAGCAGCUCCAUCAGCAGCCAGUCCUCCCUCAUUUUCAAGUGGGGGUCACUGAGUGAAAGAACACAGUGACCCGGGCCACGGGGGCCCUCCUCCUCCUCCUCCAUCACUUCUCCCAGCCCCUUGCUCGGGUCCCUGUGAGCCCACAGGAGGCAGCCAGCCCACAGCGCCACAGUCCCUCCUGGUCUGCCCUCCCACUUCCCUGCGCUCCUCGUCCAGCCUGGAUACCAAUGUCCAUGCCCAGACACCCCAGACCCUGUGCCCCUCUCCUCCUGAAACAGUCCCAUCCCUGGAUGACCCCACACACGUCCUUGGCUGGCCGCAGCCGUCACUUCAUUUGCCUACUUUUUCGUCAUCUACCAUUAAUUCAUCUUCAAACUCUCCACAAGAAAUGCUCAUCUCCUCACGCCAAGUUCAAAAACACGAGGUAACCCAUCUGUUUCCUUCUUGGAGACAUCCGUCCUGGGCCUUGCUAGCCUCCUGCUUCAAUCUGGACCAAUGACUUUUCUAGACCUACUGCCCAGCUAGACACUUGUCAAUUUUAUUGGUCCUUUCCAAAACCAACAUUUUACUUUGUUGAUAAUAUUGAAUUUUUUGUUUUCUGUCUCUUUAAUUUCAGCUCUUUACUUUUUCUUCCUUCUGCUUUCCUUGAAUUUAUCCUGUUGUUAUCCUAAGCUCAUUAAUGUUCAGCCUUUUACUGUUGUUCUAAUAUAAGCAUUUAAGGUUAAAAAUGUCCUUUUGAUGGUAUCCUAUAAGCUUCGAUUUGCAGUGUUUAUUUGUAGGAUUUUUAUUAUCAUUCAGUUUAAAUUUUUUCUAAUUUGUUUUCUGAUUUCUUUUUGACUCAUGAAUUAUGUAGAAGUAUAUUUCCUGUUUCCCAAAUGCACGGGGGUUCUCUCUGUUUUUGUUAUUGAUUUCAACUUAAUUGCAUUAUGGUCAGAGAAUGUGGUCGAUAUGAGAAUUCUUAGAAAUUUGUUCAGACUUGCUUUAUGACCCACUACAUGGUCACUUUUCAUAAAUGGCUUAUACAUGCUUGAAAAGAAUAUGUAUUUCUUUUCAUUUGUUGAGAGCAAUGUCCCAUAGGUUGGCAUUAAACAAGUUUGUUAAUUCUGCUGUUCAAAUAUUUCCUGUCCUUACUUUUAAAAACUAUUUCACCUAUCAGUUAUUGAAAGGUAUUAAAGUGUCCUGCAUGAUUUCUAUUUCUGCUUUGUAGUUCUAUCAAGUUUUGCUGAAUAUAUUUUGCAUGAAUAGAAUGUUGUUGGUUGCAUAAAAGUUUAGAAUUGUGAUA
Molecule: long non-coding RNA, 4579 nt
Organism: Equus quagga
Lineage: Eukaryota; Metazoa; Chordata; Mammalia; Perissodactyla; Equidae
Exons: 3
Source: RefSeq, a predicted model, not a curated record